AUUGAACGCUGGCGGCAUGCCUUACACAUGCAAGUCGAACGGCAGCACGGGAGCAAUCCUGGUGGCGAGUGGCGAACGGGUGAGUAAUAUAUCGGAACGUGCCCAGUUGUGGGGGAUAGCCCGGCGAAAGCCGGAUUAAUACCGCAUACGACCUACGGGUGAAAGCGGGGGAUCGCAAGACCUCGCGCAAUUGGAGCGGCCGAUAUCAGAUUAGCUAGUUGGUGGGGUAAAGGCUCACCAAGGCGACGAUCUGUAGCUGGUCUGAGAGGACGACCAGCCACACUGGGACUGAGACACGGCCCAGACUCCUACGGGAGGCAGCAGUGGGGAAUUUUGGACAAUGGGCGCAAGCCUGAUCCAGCCAUGCCGCGUGUGGGAAGAAGGCCUU
RNAcentral lists this ribosomal RNA (388 nucleotides) under uncultured bacterium. RNAcentral's name for it is "bacterial SSU rRNA". It matches the Rfam family "Bacterial small subunit ribosomal RNA", at positions 29 to 418 of the family's 1533-position model. The record is from RNAcentral.